Ochotona curzoniae (black-lipped pika) is the source of this 1627-nucleotide long non-coding RNA. RefSeq lists it as uncharacterized. The transcript has 4 exons. NCBI's taxonomy places the organism in Eukaryota, Metazoa, Chordata, Mammalia, Lagomorpha, Ochotonidae. The record is from RefSeq and is a predicted model, not a curated record.
GUGAUUUCUUCACUCUCCCUUACAAAUACGCUAUUUGUAAUACCUAUCUUCUCCAAUCUAGGUGUUUGAAAAAUGUCUGUAACUUGUGUGGGCUAGAAUGCAUUUUGUUUUUAUACAGGUGUAUUCAUUUAGCCAGGGUCACCUCUGAGGACCUAUGAAAAACUGCUGGGCGUCUUUGCAAAUCAUCUCUCUGCAGUGACCAUGUCUUAAUCCUUAAGGAAAACAAGAUCUCGCAGUUUCUGAAAGACAAAUCUUUCUUCUUACUUGGUAUAGAUAUUCUGAAACUUAGUGCUUGUUCUGGCCCGAAUCAUGACAAAAGUAAGUGGUCUUGGUUUGACAUUUUUGUCUGUCAUUGCUGAUGGGCCAAAUGUCUAAUUUAUCAUACAUUGAUUAAAGUAGCUGCAUAUUCAUAGCACCUUUUUAAUAUGCCUUUCUUAUACCUAACAUAAACAUAUGAUUAUUUUCUUAAAAUUUCAUAUAGUAGUGUUAUUCAACAGAAAUACAAUGUUAACCAUCCAUGUAAGUUUAAACGCUAUAUAAGAUAUUUAUAUUACGUGAUAGAUAUGAUUCUAAGAAGUAACCAUAUUCCCCUAAUGACUUUAAAUACUCAAAUAGCCAUUUACAGGAACAAAAAGCAAUAGAUCACACUGAUUUAAACAAUCAAUUAUAUUUAACUAAAGAAUCAUGUAUUCAAAACAUUGCAUUUUUAACCUGUAGAUACAAAAUUACUAGUAAUGUGUCUAACAUUCUUUUUUUUCUUGCUAAAGUUUUUAAAUCCAGAGUGAAUGUUAUACUUCCACACAAUCUUUCUAGGACAAUACGUGUGCUGAACCCAAUACAUUACAAUUUAUCUGCUCUGUUGCCCAUUAUUUUACCUUUUCCAAUACCCAGUUUCUUUACUUUAUAAUGCCAAUAUUUUGCUUGCUUUUUUUGCAUCAUGCGAAUGCUGUGGUUUAGAUAUAGUUUGUCCUCCCAAAGGUUUACAUGCUAUCAUCUAGGUCCUCAAUGAAGUAGUGAAAAUUUGGAGCCAUGGAGCCCGAAGGGCAAUCAUCGAACCACAGGAGUAUCCCUUUGGAACUUCCUGUAAUGACUUGGGCAAAGCAGGAGAAAAUUGCCUAAGUUUGCAUCCCUGCCACCUACACGGAAGACCCAGCUGAAGCCACUGAAUCCUGGCCAAUCCAAGCCUGGGAUAUUGCAGCCAUCUUGGGGAGUGAAACAGCAGGCAGUUCCAGGGCCAGGUGACAUGAGCCCUGCAGGGUGCCCUAUUCCUGGGGAUCAUAGACCUGGCACCCACCUCACAGGCAGACCCCAGGACCUGGGCCAGGUGACUUGAGCCCUGCUGGAUCCAAGAAUGAGGCAACCAUAUAUGUAGGUGAGAAACGACUCCUGAGAGACUCUGAAUGAAAGGGUCACAAUGCUUACAGGUAAGUGAGGAGGUUGACACCCAGUGGUGUAGAGGAGAGAGACCAGAUCUAUAAGGGUCAGACAGAGGCACCCAUCCACAUGUGAGUCCUGAGUUGGGCUUGUUAAUAUGGAACAUUGCUAAUCACCACAUGCCAGUCCACAUGAAAUGAUGCUGGAGGUGUGUCUGGCAGUGAUAGAUUUCAGAACCCAACUGCAUGUCACG